This 387-nucleotide ribosomal RNA is filed under the name Chaetoceros sp. RNAcentral describes it as "partial small subunit ribosomal RNA". It matches the Rfam family "Eukaryotic small subunit ribosomal RNA", at positions 582 to 975 of the family's 1831-position model. Lineage: Eukaryota; Bacillariophyta; Thalassiosirophyceae; Chaetocerotales; Chaetocerotaceae. The record is from RNAcentral.
AUUCCAGCUCCAAUAGCGUAUAUUAAAGUUGUUGCAGUUAAAAAGCUCGUAGUUGGAUUUCCGGCGUGAGGGAUCAGUCUGACUUCUAGUCAGUACUUGGUCCUCUCAUGCCGUCCUUGAAUGGUGCAUCCUGGCAUUAAGUUGUCGGGGUGAGAGCCGUUCAUCGUUUACUGUGAGAAAAUUAGAGUGUUUCAGGCAGGCUAGCGCCGGGAUACAUUAGCAUGGAAUAAUGGAAUAGGACUUUUUCCUCUUCUGUUGGUCUGAGGGGUUCGAGCAAUGAUUAAUAGGGAUAGUUGGGGGCACUAGUACUUUGCUGUCAGAGGUGAAAUUCUCGGAUUUGCAAAAGACUAACUUAUGCGAAAGCAUUUGCCAAGGAUGUUUUCAUCA